CAGCAGCCGCGGGAAUACGGAGGGUGCAAGCGUUACUCGGAAUCACUGGGCGUAAAGGACGCGUAGGCGGAUUAUCAAGUCUCUUGUGAAAUCUAACGGCUUAACCGUUAAACUGCUUGGGAAACUGAUAAUCUAGAGUAAGGGAGAGGCAGAUGGAAUUCUUGGUGUAGGGGUAAAAUCCGUAGAGAUCAAGAAGAAUACCCAUUGCGAAAGCGAUCUGCUGGAACUUAACUGACGCUAAUGCGUGAAAGCGUGGGGAGCAAACAGGAUUAGAUACCCCCGUAGUCCCUGUCUCUUAUAC
This 301-nucleotide ribosomal RNA is filed under the name uncultured bacterium. RNAcentral describes it as "partial 16S ribosomal RNA". It matches the Rfam family "Bacterial small subunit ribosomal RNA", at positions 509 to 807 of the family's 1533-position model. The record is from RNAcentral.